This is a long non-coding RNA of Leptinotarsa decemlineata (Colorado potato beetle), 5519 nucleotides long. The record is from RefSeq and is a predicted model, not a curated record. Lineage: Eukaryota; Metazoa; Arthropoda; Insecta; Coleoptera; Chrysomelidae.
UACCAGUUUAGCGCAAUUUGUUUAAUUAUUUUUAGUUCAUCCUGGAAGUUAAGAUAUUGUGAAAGCUCUGUGUAUCAUUGACCUAAAGGAGGAUAAUUUACGUGAGAUUUGACUGAAAGAAUCAAAGCGAAUUGUACAGUCUGUGAGAAUAUCUGCUAGAAUGGGACCAAAUGGUGAUCCCAUAGGUACCUAAAAAUUAUUAUUAUAUUUGAAAAAAUGUUGUUUCGGACAAGUAUUCAAGAGAUUGCAAAAUUCGUUAGUUAUAUAUGGGUUAUAUAUGGGUUUAACUACAUGUCAAACAAAAAUAUCUACUGAAAAAACACCUUCACAGACUGUAAAUUCCCUUUGAUUCUUUCAGUCCACUCUUACAUAAAUUAUCCGCCUUUAAGUCAAUGAUAAGGACUUCCAGGAUGAACUAAAAAUAAGUAAACAAAUUGUGCUGAAUAAUCAGGUAUGAUGACCCCACUCCGUCUCAAGUACUCCCAAGGAAUAUAACAAAUCGGUUGUCUACCCAUCCGAAGAGUAUUAGUCAAUCAAAUAUAUCGAUGAACCCUCCUUUAAAAUCAACUUCAAUGGUCCGGUCAGUAUCUCAGGACAUUCAUACAUCCAUAACAGAUUUGAAACCAAAAAGUUCCUUAUCUGACACUAGUUUAGAUGUGAGUAAAGUUAAAGCAGGAACGAUGCGACAAAUGACCAUUAAAGAGCAACCUUCAGUGUCGCUUGAGGAUGACAUUUGCUCCACAGAUUCUUCCAUUAUAGACGAGAAUGACAUUAAAAAGAAAAAACGUAAACUUAUUUUUUUCUCGAAGAAAAGUAAAAAUAAAGGUGAUUGAUUUAUUUUAGCUAGCGAAUUUGUUGUUACUUGAAUUUUGAACCUGUUAGUCUCUCCAUAUGUUUAUUUCUUUUUUCAAAAAAGUAGUUUUUGUUUUGAGAGGGGUGUAAAGAGAAAUACAUGAUGGUGGUUCAAAAAUGAACCGUGAUUGUCUUAAGUGUAUUUUCAAUACUUUGGUAAUGCUAUACAGCUGGGGCAAACUGUUUAGGAAUUAAUUAAUUCCAAACUGUUAUUAAUAGGAAAAAGUUUAUGUAUAUAAUUACUGUGUUGAGGUAAUUUUUUUAAACAACUGAGUUUCGCUAAUUAUGAAAAAAAAUGUUGUUUAUAGAUAGUUGAAAAUAGUAUUACUCUUUUUAUUUGUAUAUCGAAUUUGUUCCGGAAUCUUCAAACUAGUACUCUAGCAUGAAUUUCACAUUUAUUUGUCUCAGAUUGUAGUUCAACUGAAUUUCUGCCAACUCCAAAACAAUUUCAAAUUUGAGUUAGGUAUGGCAUUGUUGAAUUUCUUGCUAGAGUCAUGUAUGCUGUAUGCUUUAUUCUUUUACUGUCUCAUAACCAUGACGGACUCCCAAAAAUAGUUUAUAUUCUUAUAUAAUUUGCAAUGUUGAGUAGAAAUUUGAAUAUCUUUUACAAAAUAAAGGAGAGUUGUUUGAAUCACAAACAUAUACAGUCUUCCAUGGGAGUAAUUAGAUAGUGUUUUUUAAGGAGUGUUUAUAUUCUCUCCUAGAAUUAUGUCCUUAUUCCAGUACUUCAAUCACGUACUUAUGACGGACUGAGCCAUUUUACAGGCAUUUUUAUUCUCUAAUUUCAUUAAUAUUUUUUGAAGCUUGGUCUAUGUACUUUAAAAAAUUUCCGAAAUGUAUACUCUUUGCAGUUAUUUUUCUCCUCAGAGCUCCAUAAAAUGAAUAACAUAAUUUUUUCCUCGCAAUUUUAUUAAGUAUACUUUCUAAUGUCAAUGUAUGACAACAUUGGCUGUUAUAUUUCAGGUUAUUUAUGGAAGACAGCAAAAGAAAACAUUUCCUAUACACUGAUUAAAUUAUCAAAAAAUAUUUUUGAUAAGUAUAACUACAUUACUAACAUUUUUUUAUGAAUCUUCUGUGAACUGUUUCCUAACGAUGUUGAAAUAUGGCAAGAGGUGAUUAUACCUAUAGAAAAGAAUUUAUUGUACACGGAUCUAUUCGUUUGCUUGUGGGGAAAACAAUUUUAUAUUCGGAACAAAGGUAUAGUUCUUUGGAGGUAAUAUUUCUGAUGACAAAACAAUUCAUAAGGUAUUCUGGUUUUACCCACGUCAUUAAUUUUGAAUAAACAUUUUGAUAGGACAUAAAAUUCGGUUUUGAAUGAUAUAACACAAGGAACUAUUUCUAUUGAAAAUGGAAAUAUUGUGGAACAACUUUUGUUGAAUUCAAGAAAAACUUUUUUUAACGCCGUAUUUCAAAAAUCUUGAUAGGAAUUGGUAUUUUUUAAACUUCGACAUUGAAAUAAACCUCUUUUACUAUAAAAAAAUGUCAAUUAUACUGUGCCAUAAAUUUUUCUGUGUCGAAAAAGUUAAAGUAGUAGUAGUAGUAGUAGUUUAUUAAUCACCAACUUACAUGUAUUUAUGAAAGCAUACGAUAGAAAAAAAUAGGCGAUUAAUAUAGUUAGAAGAAAAGGUCUGUCAAAACGAGCCUUAUUACUGGACAUAGGUAUUGUUGAUUCACUUGAGUUGUUGGAAAACUUGUCUGUGAAACAUCAAUACCGAAAUUUUUUCCUUUGCAGAUAUUAUGUUUGAUAUGAUAUGAGAUUUACUUUUAAUAACUUUGUAUUUUUGACAAUAAGUACUUUAUAAUGAACCAAACUGGCACAGAAAAAUUAACUGCAUAUCUUUGACAUUUUUACAAGAGAUACACUUCAAUGUUAAUGUUUAAAAAAUACCACUUUUCAUAAAGAUUUUCGGAAUAAAGAUGAAGUGGAAAAUGGCAUUUCAAAUAACUAAAUAAAAUGUGAGUAGUGCCGCCAUCUUGAACUGGGAGUAGAUAGCUCCUAUCCCACUAUUUUGAACAAAAAUGGUAACUCGUGUUUUAUGAAAAAAUUAAUUUCGUAUUCUAUCAAAUGGUUUAAGAAAUAUAAUGUUCUAUCAAACAUUUUCAACUUGGGUUUAUUUUUGGGUAAACAUUUUCAAUUAUUUUAUCAUUAGAAAUAUCAACUCAAAGAACUAUACAAACUGAAUGACACCAUUGUUACCUGGUACAGUAAAUUCUUAGAAGAAAAGUUCAUUUGAAGUUGAGCUUUUCAAAAUGAGGCUGAACAGUCACUCAUCUCGUAAAAAAUAAUUUAUUCCUAAGAAACUAGGUUGGAUUAUACUUUAACUUGAAGGUUAUAACUUUUUUAAAUAUUCUCAGCAAUAAAUACUUCCUUUUUGAUGUAGAGUGCAGCCUUCAAAGAUAGUUCGAACAAAUUAUAUGUUUUUACUAUUUGUUGUAGAAACUAAUUCAACACAGAGUACUUUUUAUAUGAAAGAUAAAAUUGUGGGCGAAAAUCAACUACGGCAAAAACAUUAACUUUAUUUAUAGCAACUAUACAUCAUUUUUUUUUCGAUAGAACAUAAAUAAACAAGGACAAAACAAUCACUUAAUGAAAUAUAAUUCAACACUAUUGUAUACUCCUGUAUAUUUUCAAUAAAAAAAAGAAUUUUUUUAUUGGAUCCCAUUCCACAUAGGUCAACAAUAUGGGUUCGUUAGAAGACCACAUCCAUAGCAACCUUGAUUUCCUGAUUUAAUUUCUGUAUAUUCUUUAGCAUGAGAUACUGAAUGUUUCUAAUAUUUUGAAAAUGUUUCUAAUAAUAUACUCUUUUGCGAACUGUACCAUUACAUUACUUUAUUUAUUUUUUUAUAGAAAUUUGUUUUGAAAAAACAAUAUUACAGACAACUUUUACAUACUGCUAUUCAAGAUAUUAUAAUUAACUGCUCCAGCAGAAUAAUUAAAAUUUUAUACAAAAUUUAAACUUAUAGUCAAUUAUAAAGUGUAUUUAUUGCUUAUGGUUCUGGCACAGUCUCAAAGCUAGUGAUUUGUUUUGAAAUAUCUUGCAAAGAAAAGUAGUUUCCAUCAGAUUCAUUCUACUAAGACUUAUGAUGACUCAUGCCAUUUCACAUAUUUAUGUCUUAAACAAAAAAACCACAAAUUGAGCACUCACUGUGAAUCCAAUUUUACUCGUUAACAAAAAUAUUUGGUUAGUUUGUUAGGAGUUAUUUUGAGGAAUCUCGUAAAAAGCUCUAUCACAUUUUUUUAGAUUUUGCUGUCUUCCAUGAAUGAAAUGCCGCACAAUUCAGGUGAAAUAUUAGUGAAUCAAUGGUUUUGGUAUUCUUUGAAUGACAUUAUUUGUGGGAUUAAUUUUUUUGUAAUUUUAAUUUUAAAUUAUAGAUUUUAAUACAUACUCUUUAUAUAUGAUGGAUAAAUUACAAGUUUGACAAACCUAAAAGUUACUGUGUAAAAUGAACACUUCUACAGAAAAAAAUCUAUUGGACCUUUUCUUAAAAAAGUUCAUAAUCAAGUUCAAUUCGACUUGGGUAUUUUUUGUACAUCUCUAAUGAAUCUGAAUAAGUUUUCAGAAAAACAAAUUCAAAAAAUCAUUCUUUUCAUUUGGAUUUAAAAAUGUUAUCAAUUCAAGUUCAUUUCGACUCUAUGUUCUUAUACAUCUGUAAUAUAAUAAUGAAUGUUUUCAAUUCAUUUGCAUUCAAAAUUGUGUUGAGUAAUAUGGAAGAAUUAAGGAUUCAUUGUAGAUAUAGACUAGGCUCAACAAUAACAUAUAAAAUCCUCUUGUUCACACUGAUACCCAAGCCGUGGCAAACUGAACGAUUUCUCGGGAAAAUAAGUGAUACAAUCAAUAGUGACUCAGAGGGAGCAGCAGUCAAUACAAUCGAUAGAAGAGUUCAUAUUGCACAGUAACUUUUUGGAGUGAACUUCUGUGGCCUUUACAUUCAUAAAGAUUCAUUGCUUGAUGUUAAUUUUUUCAAAAUAUAGAAUCUAUUAGAUCUGGACAGAACCUUGAGGAGUGGUUUUAGGUUGUACUUACGGAAUUACUUAAAGUAGAAGAAAGAAACAGACGUCUCAAUUGUCUCAGUGUAUAUCACUGUUAUUUUAGUUGUAACUGAAUUUCAUUACAGUUUGAAUUAGAGUUGUAGAGAAAAAUACUUUUACUGAUGACGACAAAUUAAACUGCAAUGAUAUUUGUAAUUUGAGGUGAAGAUGCAAAAUGCUCAAUGAAUAAGGUGACUUUGAAGAGGAAUAUGACAGUUGUUAUUAGUGAGAUUUCAACUGUGUGCUUCCAAAUAGUUAUCCCAUUUAUCAUAUGGAAAUGUUAACUUAUUUUCGGUCACAUGUACUUCAAGGACAAGUGAUAUAAAUUGAAGGGGUUUUAUUUUUAAGAGUAACUAAUUUUUGGGAAAGAAAGUUUUUGGCUUGGCAAAAACUUUCUUUCCAAGUGAUAUAAAUAGUGGAAUAUGAUUAUAUCCUUUUAUAUUUUCAUUACUUAUACAAUAAAAGUCAUCUUUAUUCUUAGCUUUUAUGAAAUGUGAUAAGAAAGUUGAAUCAGUGUGAAACGCUUCAAUACCUAUAUAAAUUGUAUUCGUUUUAAUUGGUGAGUGCCUAAUAUAUAUUUGUUCACACUCAAAGGAGGAAUGACAAUAAUUAUUCUAAAAUAAAUUUUUUCAAAUGG